AGAAUAUUAGUCAAUGCUCGUAAGAGUGAACUAGCUAACUGAAAUCACAAAUUUAAUUAAGUUGAAAAAUGUGAUAACGUAAGGGACAAAAAUGAUAUUACCUUACUAAAAGUGUUGUCCAAAACUGGUGCCAGAAGACUCGGUAAAGCCAGAGACGCAAACGUUAGUCGUCCUAAUCAGGCGUAAAGGGUAUGUAGGCUGCUUUAAAUUAUUAUAUUUAUGUAGAGCUUUUAUAUUUAUAAUAAUUAAAAUUUAAUUAUAUAUAUCUAUAAGUAAAUAUAAAAUCAAUUAAAGCUAGAAUCAAAUUGAGGAUAAACCAAAUAAUACUUAGUGUAGGGUUGAAAUCUAUAGAUACUAAGGGGAAUACUAAAAGUUAAAACUUUUUAUCUAACAUUGAUUGACGYUGAGAUACGAAGGUGAGAAUAGGAAAUAGGAUUAGAUACCCAGAUACCUCUCACUGUCAACGAUGAAUGGUGGUUAUUAACUUUAAAACAAAUUGGUAACGAUGUUAACACGAUAACCAUUCCGCCUUGCGAGUACGGUUGCAAAACUGMAACCAAAAAAAUU
Molecule: ribosomal RNA, 567 nt
Filed under: Entoloma cretaceum
Lineage: Eukaryota; Fungi; Basidiomycota; Agaricomycetes; Agaricales; Entolomataceae
Description: partial small subunit ribosomal RNA
Rfam family: Bacterial small subunit ribosomal RNA
Source: RNAcentral